RNAcentral lists this ribosomal RNA (433 nucleotides) under uncultured bacterium. RNAcentral's name for it is "partial 16S ribosomal RNA". It matches the Rfam family "Bacterial small subunit ribosomal RNA", at positions 29 to 507 of the family's 1533-position model. The record is from RNAcentral.
AACGAACGCUGGCGGCAUGCCUAACACAUGCCAGUCGAACGAGACCUUCGUGUCUAGUUGCUCACGGGUGCGUAACGCGUGGGAACCUGCCCUUAGGUUCCGAAUACCUCCCCUAAGGGGGUGCUAAUACCGGAUAAUUUAUUCUAACAAAAGAUUUAUCGCCUUUGGUUGGGCCCGCGUUGGUUUGACUGGUUGGUAGCGUAAAAGCCUACGAAGGCUACGAUCCAUAGCUGGUCUGAGAGGAUGAUCAGCGACACUGGGACUGAGACACGGCCCAGACUAUUACGGGAGGGAGGAGUGGGUAAUAUUGGAAAAUGGGCGAAAGCAUGAUGCAGCAAGGCUGGGUGAGUGAUGAAGGCGUUAGAGUAGUAAAGCUCUUUUACCCGGGAUUAUAAUGACAGUACCGAGAGAAUAAGCACCGGCUAACUCCGUG